UCUCCGUAGGUGAACCUGCGGAGGGAUCAUUACAGAGUUCAUGCCCUACCGGGUAGAUCUCCCACCCUAUGUUAUUAUUACUUUGUUGCUUUGGCGGGCCGUUAGGCUCCGGCCCGACUACCGGCCCCGGCUGGUAAGCGCCCGCCAGAGGAUCCAAAACCCUGAAUAUUAGUGUCGUCCGAGUACUAUAUAAUAGUUAAAACUUUCAACAACGGAUCUCUUGGUUCUG
Molecule: unclassified non-coding RNA, 229 nt
Filed under: plant metagenome
Description: partial contains small subunit ribosomal RNA, internal transcribed spacer 1, and 5.8S ribosomal RNA
Source: RNAcentral